GAUGAACGCUGGCGGCGUGCCUAAUACAUGCAAGUCGAGCGAACAGACGAGGAGCUUGCUCCUCUGACUUUAGCGGCGGACGGGUGAGUAACACGUGGAUAACCUACCUAUAAGACUGGGAUAACUUCGGGAAACCGGACCUCAUACCGGAUAAUAUAUUGACCCGCAUGGUUCAAUAGUGAAAGACGGUUUUGCUGUCACUUAUAGAUGGAUCCGCGCCGCAUUAGCUAGUUGGUAAGGUAACGGCUUACCAAGGCAACGAUGCGUAGCCGACCUGAGAGGGUGAUCGGCCACACUGGAACUGAGACACGGUCCAGACUCCUACGGGAGGCAGCAGUAGGGAAUCUUCCGCAAUGGGCGAAAGCUUGACGGAGCAACGCCGCGGGAGUGAUGAAGGUCUUCGGAUCGUAAAACUCUGUUAUUAGGGAAGAACAAAUGUGUAAGUAACUAUGCACGUCUUGACGGUACCUAAUCAGAAAGCCACGGCUAACUACGUG
This 497-nucleotide ribosomal RNA is filed under the name uncultured bacterium. Its description in RNAcentral is "partial 16S ribosomal RNA". It matches the Rfam family "Bacterial small subunit ribosomal RNA", at positions 28 to 507 of the family's 1533-position model. The record is from RNAcentral.